UACGUAGGGGGCUAGCGUUGUCCGGAAUCAUUGGGCGUAAAGAGCGCGUAGGCGGCCAGAUAAGUCCGGUGUGAAAGUCACAGGCUCAACCUGUGAAUGCCGCUGGAAACUGUCUGGCUAGAGUCCGGGAGGGGCGAGUGGAAUUCCUGGUGUAGCGGUGAAAUGCGCAGAUAUCAGGAGGAACACCAAUGGCGAAGGCAGCUCGCUGGAACGGUACUGACGCUGAGGAGCGAAAGCGUGGGGAGCGAACAGG
This 253-nucleotide ribosomal RNA is filed under the name uncultured bacterium. Its description in RNAcentral is "partial 16S ribosomal RNA". It matches the Rfam family "Bacterial small subunit ribosomal RNA", at positions 524 to 776 of the family's 1533-position model. The record is from RNAcentral.